GGGGGGGGGGGGGGGGGGGGCGGGGGGGUGGAGGGCGGGUGGGGGCGGGGGGCGGCGGGCGGUUUCGCUGGCGAGUGGCGGGCGGGGGGGGAGUGUCUGGGAGACGGCCUGAUGGAGGGGGGUAACUACUGGGACCGGUCGCUCAUACCGCCUAACGUCGCCAGACCAAAGAGGGGGACCUUCGUGCCUCUUGCCAUCAGACGUGCCCAGAUGGGAUUAGCUCGUCGGUGGGGUAACGGCUCACCCAGGCGACGAUCCCUAGCUGGUCUGAGAGGAUGACCAGCCACACUGGAACGGAGACACGGUCCAGACUCCUACGGGAGGCAGCAGUGGGGAAUAUUGCAAUGGGCGCAAGCCUGAUGCAGCCAUGCCGCGUGUAUGAAGAAGGCCUUCGGGUUGUAAAGUACUUUCAGCGGGGAGGAAGGGAGUAAAGUUAAUACCUUUGCUCAUUGACGUUACCCGCAGAAGAAGCACCGGCUAACUCCGUG
RNAcentral lists this ribosomal RNA (488 nucleotides) under uncultured bacterium. Its description in RNAcentral is "partial 16S ribosomal RNA". The stretch from base 51 to 488 matches the Rfam family "Bacterial small subunit ribosomal RNA", at positions 38 to 507 of the family's 1533-position model. The record is from RNAcentral.